This 971-nucleotide long non-coding RNA is filed under the name Manacus vitellinus (golden-collared manakin). Its description in RNAcentral is "lncRNA (ENSMVIG00005012744.1)". Lineage: Eukaryota; Metazoa; Chordata; Aves; Passeriformes; Pipridae. The record is from RNAcentral.
UAAUAUUUAUGAAUUGCAGUUUUUUCUGUUAAAACUUCUCGAUCCCCCUUUUCUCCCACCCUGCUUUACACUUGCUCCUGUAGUUUUUCAGAAUAUUGUAAAAUACUGGGCCAUUAAUGCAUUGGGAAGUGAGGGAUGCUUACAAAUGUGUUAAAAUAAAACAUUGGAUAUCAUCUACAAGUAUGCAUGUUAUCAACCAAACUUUUAUCUUUUAGAGAGUAUUAGUUGAAGAAGGAUAGCAGUGACUCCUGGGUGAGUGUCCCCUGAAUCUGCUGCUGUUCUGCAGGACCCAGCAGUAUCCCAGUUUCAAAAUAGAGAGAGUGCAAAAUUCAUCCACCAGCCUUUGCCAUGUUGUGAACAUCCCCAGUCUGUUUCCUCUGGAAGAACUCCAAGUGACUUGAAAGGGAUAAAGAUGAGGAACAAAACAACAACCUUCCUGAAACUCUGGAAGAAGGAGAGAAUGGUGCAUCCUCUUGCUGUUUCCUGCCAUGCCUUGCUAUUCCAGGUGUGUUCAGAUUUCUUUUGUUUCAUUCCUUGCAUGGUGAUUUUCAUUCUGGAGCUCCUUUUUGUCCGUUUCUCCACAGCUUCUCCCAGAUGGAGCAAAGACCUUUAGAAGUUUGAGGGACACACAAAUGACAGAACCUGAAUUAGGAAGAGGCUGCACCUUCCCAGUUGUGCCAACAUGCCACUUGUGAACAGAGGCUUUGAACACAUGCCACAUAAGGAACUCCAUAAUGAAAGAGGUUAUCACCCAGGAGUUAUACCCAGCUUGUUUUUCAGCCCUGCAAAGGGAAGAUACUGUGCUGUGAACAAAGCAGUGAUGGCUCUUGGGUCCUCCCUGGGCGCGAGGAGAGCAGUGGAGCUGUUUUGGAUGGCACAUGUACAGGUACCCACUGACCCAUGGGACACAUCCUCCUCUGCUCUGUCACUUGGGGGAGUUCAAUGAAGGCAAGCAAACAGACAAGCCUCCA